CCUUCGUGUCUACCGAGGCGACGACAAGGGACUAUUGGAACAGGAUGAUCCCGAUCCUGACCAAUCCGCUGCGGAUAUGUCUUGCGACGAGACUGACCUUUCGCUGAGUCAAUCAACUUCUAAGUUGGUUAAGGAGGGGGAAGAGUCAGUUGACGAGGACGAUCUCCUUGCCUCUGACAAGGAGGACGCCAACGUCACAGUGUUGCGUAUAGACAAAAAGGGAGAUGGUGAGAGUAACCCUAAUUAAUCUCCACCACUCCAAAGCAGCCUCGGCUGCACUGUUCCUCCGAAUGGGUGUAAGUGGGGAGGAGCUCGCCCUAGUCCAGGAACCCUGGAUUCACCAAGAAAGGGUGAGUGGACUAGGCAUGAAAAGCUUUAAGCUAUUGUACGCAAAAGGAUCUGUGAUGAAGACACCGUAGCAGCCAUAUGGGAGACCAGUGUAGGUGCUAUAUUGGUUAUCUCGGCGUACAUGGCUCACGACCACAGCGACCAGCCACCGAACAACCUGGUCUGCAGAUCCAUAGAGAUGGCAAACUCAAAAAGCAUGCCGAUCAUCAUGGGGGCUGAUGCCAAUGCCCAUCACACUGUCUGGGGAAGCUCGGACAUAAACGCUAGAGGAUCCGAACCGACCUUUAUUGUUUCAAACAGAAGGGAAGUUCUUGACAUUACGCUGGUUAGUUCUAUGCAUCAUGAUAGGAUAAGGGGAUGGAGAGUCUCAAGUGACUGCUCUUUCUCUGACCAUCAGUACAUCGAUUUUGAAAUCGUAGUUGACAAAGUGGCCCCAAAGCCCUUUAUAAACAGGAGACGAACAGAUUGGGAAAUGCAAAUGGGGCUAAUCUCACGUUCAC
This is an RNA transcript of Lucilia cuprina (Australian sheep blowfly), 848 nucleotides long. RefSeq lists it as uncharacterized. Lineage: Eukaryota; Metazoa; Arthropoda; Insecta; Diptera; Calliphoridae. The transcript is spliced from 3 exons. The record is from RefSeq and is a predicted model, not a curated record.